Molecule: non-coding RNA, 82 nt
Organism: Silurus meridionalis
Lineage: Eukaryota; Metazoa; Chordata; Actinopteri; Siluriformes; Siluridae
Source: the annotation of a RefSeq genome assembly
GACGAGGUGGCCGAGUGGUUAAGGCAAUGGACUAAUGAUCUAUUGUGCUCUGAACGUGUGGGUUCGAAUCCCAUCUUUGUCG